GACGAACGCUGGCGGCGUGCCUAAUACAUGCAAGUCGAACGCAGUGGGGACGGGUGAGUAACACGUGGGUAACCUCCCAUCAGAGGGGAUAACACUUGGAAACAGGUGCUAAACCGAUACGGAUGGCUGGACCCGCGGUGCAUUAGCUAGUUGGUGAGGUAACGGCUCACCAAGGCCACGAUCCAUAGCCGGCCUGAGAGGGUGAUCAGCCACACGGGGACUGAGACACGGCCCAGAUCCCUACGGGAGGCAGCAGUAGGGAAUAUUCGGCAAUGGACGAAAGUCUGACGGAGCAACGCCGCGUGAGUGAAGAAGGUCUUCGGAUCGUAAAGCUCUGUUGUUAGAGAAGCGGUACCUAAAGAAAAAGCACCGGCUAACUACGUGCCAGCAGCCGCGGUAAUAC
Molecule: ribosomal RNA, 403 nt
Filed under: uncultured bacterium
Lineage: Bacteria
Description: partial 16S ribosomal RNA
Rfam family: Bacterial small subunit ribosomal RNA
Source: RNAcentral